AUUGUCAACAAAGGGACGAGAGACGCGCAACUCCGCUCCGCACUGUGCGCCAGCAUCCCCGGGGCACGGAGGGCGCUGCGGCCCGCCCGGAGACCCCCCCACCCAGGCUGGAUCCGGGCCCUGGGGCCCAGGGAGCGGGUGGGUGUGUGGACAAAUCCUCCAAGAUUUAACUUCCAAGAAAACCGGCGGCGGAGCGGGUGGAGGAGGCGAGGAUGUGUGGCCAAUGCACGCGGAGUGCAAGGCCGCCUAGUUGGGAGCCGCAAGAGCCUGCCUGGUGUGGCAGGCACACGGAACCCAAUCCCUGUCUGUCCGCUGCGGCCUGGGAGGGGAGCGCCGGCCUCACCAGAGGAAGGAGCACGAGGGGAGGAGUUCCGAGAGGAAAUAAUUAGUGAAAUAUUUGCAGAAGAUGCUGGGAUGUGGAUUUAAUUCCGGAUGGACAGUGGUGCUUCUGAUUCCCUCAGUCUGUUUCCCCACCCACGAUCUCCUCUUUCCUUGGCCUAGACACACCAAAAAUAAUUCAAUAAAAUAAAAAUAAAAAUUUAAAAA
Molecule: long non-coding RNA, 546 nt
Filed under: Homo sapiens (human)
Lineage: Eukaryota; Metazoa; Chordata; Mammalia; Primates; Hominidae
Source: RNAcentral